GAGACUCUCACCGAUUACAGCACUGACCUAACAUCCUGGUACGGGGACUUGGGCACUGACAGAGACUCCCACCGAUUACAGCACUGACCUGACAUACUGGUACAGGGACUUGGGAGGUGACAGAGACUCUCACCGAUUACAGCACUGACCUAACAUCCUGGUACGGGGACUUGGGAGGUGAGAGAGACUCUCACCGAUUACCGUGCUGACCUGACAUCCUGGUACAGGGACUUGGGCGGUGACAGUGACUCCCACCGAUUACCGCGCUGACCUGACAUUCUGGUACAGGGACUUGGGCGGUGACAGUGACUCCCACUGAUUACCGCGCUCACCUGACAUCCUGGUACAGGGACUUGGGAGGUGACAGUGACUCCCACCGAUUACCGUGCUGACCUGACAUCCUGGUACAGGGACUUGGGCGGUGACAGUGACUCCCACCGAUUACAGCACUGACCUGACAUCCUGGUACAGGGACUUGGGCGGUGACAGUGACUCCCACCGAUUACCGCGCUGACCUGACAUCCUGGUACAGGGACUUGGGCGGUGACAGUGACUCCGACCGAUUACAGCACUGACCUGACAUCCUGGUACAGGGACUUGCCCGGUGACAGUGACUCCCACUGAUUACCGCGCUGACCUGACAUCCUGGUACAAGGACUUGGGAGGUGACAGAGACUCCCACCGAUUACAGCACUGACCUGACAUCCUGGUACAGGGACUUGGGAGGUGACAGAGACUCCCACCGAUUACAGCACUGACCUGACAUCCUGGUACAGGGACUUGGGCGGUGACAGAGACUCCCAUCGAUUACAGCACUGACCUGACAUCCUGGUACAGGGACUUGGGCGGUGACAGAGACUCCCACCGAUUACAGCACUGACCUGACAUCCUGGUACAGGGACUUGGGAGGUGACAGAGACUCCCACCGAUUACAGCACUGACCUGACAUCCUGGUACAGGGACUUGGGAGGUGACAGGGACUCCCACCGAUUACAGCACUGACCUGACAUCCUGGUACAGGGACUUUGGCGGUGACAGAGACUCCCAUCGAUUACAGCACUGACCUGACAUCCUGGUACAGGGACUUGGGCGGUGACAGAGACUCCCACCGAUUACAGUACUGACCUGACAUCCUGGUACAGGGAAUUGGGAGGUGACAGAGACUCUCACCGAUUACAGCACUGACCUGACAUCUUGGUACAGGGACUUGGGAGGUGACAGAGACUCCCACCGAUUACAGCACUGACCUGACAUCCUGGUAAUGGGACUUGGGAGGUGACAGUGACUCCGACCGAUUACCGCGCUGACCUGACAUCCUGGUACAGGGACUUGGGCGGUGACAGUGACUCCGACCGAUUACAGCACUGACCUGACAUCCUGG
This is a long non-coding RNA of Brienomyrus brachyistius, 1381 nucleotides long. RefSeq lists it as uncharacterized. The transcript has 3 exons. The record is from RefSeq and is a predicted model, not a curated record. NCBI's taxonomy places the organism in Eukaryota, Metazoa, Chordata, Actinopteri, Osteoglossiformes, Mormyridae.